RNAcentral lists this small nucleolar RNA (88 nucleotides) under Ascoidea rubescens DSM 1968. RNAcentral's name for it is "Small nucleolar RNA snR54". It matches the Rfam family "Small nucleolar RNA snR54". Rfam says of the family: snR54 is a member of the C/D class of snoRNA which contain the C (UGAUGA) and D (CUGA) box motifs. Most of the members of the box C/D family function in directing site-specific 2'-O-methylation of substrate RNAs. The record is from Rfam by way of RNAcentral. Lineage: Eukaryota; Fungi; Ascomycota; Saccharomycetes; Ascoideales; Ascoideaceae.
UAUAAUGAUGAUCAUCAAAAAUUUAAUAACUUUCGUUCUUCCGAUUAUUGAACAAACGUUCUUGUGGAAAUCUUAUUCAAUUCUGAAA